ACAAAUUUGUUCAAGUUGUCCGCCGUAACCCCCCAAACUCACUCGUUCACCCCUGCUCCUCUUGGCCAUGUAUUGUAAAUAAAUGCAAUUUGCUACGCAAAAAAUAAAACUCAAGAAAAGACCUUUUGUGCUUGACUUCUGAAUCUGCCGCAGCUGAGCAAUUAUGUAAUUUUUAAUAGCCGCCAUCGGAGGCCAAAAGCGGUACGCAUUUUACGAUCGUCGAGAGGGGUUACUUGUCAAAGUAUAAUUUAUUAUUGUCAGUUGUUGAAGAGCAACCCUCGCUGGAAAAGUGAUGAAAAGCGAUGUAAAAUUUGUAAAAACAUUUUAUUUUCGUAAUAUAAAAAAGAGGCAAAAGUAUCUGUUACUACAAAGUCAUCAUUGAAGAAAGCUUAAAAGUUUUAUUAGUUAUGUUUCAUUAAAAUUAUAGUUGCUGACGUGCGAAAAACAGUGCUCACAAAACAUCGGCAACAAAAGUGCACGAAAUUAUGGUGGUUGGCGGAGUAUCCGAGUAUCCGACUUCAUCCGGCGUGACGCAUGACGCAUGCAUCGCUCCACGGAUUUGUCCGUACACUCACGUCCAUCGACUAACCCACUUCAGGACUUUUGCCGGCCACAUUUCACCCGCGGCCCACCCUACGUGUUAAUUGUGGCAACUGCUCUGCUGUGACUUCUGUCCAUUCGACUUGGCCACUUGUACGUGGGGCCAGCGGAAAAGCUGCAAAGAAAACUCGGAAAUAAAAUAUGACUG
Molecule: non-coding RNA, 748 nt
Organism: Drosophila melanogaster (fruit fly)
Lineage: Eukaryota; Metazoa; Arthropoda; Insecta; Diptera; Drosophilidae
Source: Ensembl